GUGCUCACUUCAGCAGCAUAUACACUAAAAUUGGAACGAUACAGAGAAGAUUAGCAUGGCCUCUAAGCAAGGAUGACAUGCAAAUCGUGGUGUUCCAUAUUUUA
Hippopotamus amphibius kiboko is the source of this 104-nucleotide small nuclear RNA. The record is from RefSeq and is a predicted model, not a curated record. Lineage: Eukaryota; Metazoa; Chordata; Mammalia; Artiodactyla; Hippopotamidae.